UACGUAGGGUGCAAGCGUUGUCCGGAAUUAUUGGGCGUAAAGAGCUCGUAGGCGGUCUGUCGCGUCGGCUGUGAAAUCCCGAGGCUCAACCUCGGGUCUGCAGUCGAUACGGGCAAACUAGAGUAUUGCAGGGGAGACUGGAAUUCCUGGUGUAGCGGUGAAAUGCGCAGAUAUCAGGAGGAACACCGGUGGCGAAGGCAGUGUUCUGGGCCAGUACUGACGCUGAGGAGCGAAAGCGUGGGGGAGCAAACAGG
Molecule: ribosomal RNA, 254 nt
Filed under: uncultured bacterium
Lineage: Bacteria
Description: partial 16S ribosomal RNA
Rfam family: Bacterial small subunit ribosomal RNA
Source: RNAcentral